CUUGGCCGAGGAAAAAUGAUAAGGAAGCCUGCUACUGCAACAACAAGAUGGUACCAUCCAAAUCUGCUUCUCAACUACCAUCACAACCAGCCCUGAGAGCAACUUCUAAUGCAGCAGCCACAAUAACUCAAUUGCCAUUUGAAGAGCCACAAGUCAAUCAACAUCCUAUAACUCACAACUCAGAGAUGAAGAUGGUGUCCAAAACAAUGGAGAUAAUUCGGAAACAGAGGAUUUGGAGGAAGACUUGUGAUUCAAAAAGUCAUUUUCAGUCAUUUUUAGUUUAGGAUUUAGCUAGUCUUGGCAAACAAUUUUUCUUUUUAUUAGCUAUUAUUAUUUUUGGGUUGAAUUUUGUAAACUCUAUUUGAUUUAUGAUUUAAUAAGUCUUUGAUUA
Long non-coding RNA from Rosa chinensis, 391 nucleotides. RefSeq lists it as uncharacterized. The record is from RefSeq and is a predicted model, not a curated record. The transcript has 2 exons. Lineage: Eukaryota; Viridiplantae; Streptophyta; Magnoliopsida; Rosales; Rosaceae.